CGGGGUCCUGAAUUGGUUGAGC
RNAcentral lists this microRNA (22 nucleotides) under Rosa chinensis. RNAcentral's name for it is "sRNA RchiOBHm_Chr3g0456455". The record is from RNAcentral. Lineage: Eukaryota; Viridiplantae; Streptophyta; Magnoliopsida; Rosales; Rosaceae.